Molecule: unclassified non-coding RNA, 343 nt
Filed under: Hevea brasiliensis (rubber tree)
Lineage: Eukaryota; Viridiplantae; Streptophyta; Magnoliopsida; Malpighiales; Euphorbiaceae
Source: RNAcentral
UUUGCGAAUGAUUGAGAGGGAAAGGUACUUUCUAAAUGUUUUAAAACCUAACAAAUCCAAAACAUUAAUGUGUGUGUCAAUUUUUGCCCCACCUUUUAAUUUUACCAAUUAUAUCCCCAACUUUGGUUGUUGGUGCUAAUUAUAGGUCAUCCCUUGUAUUUUGUUGUCUUCACAUAGGCAAGUAGCACUGAUAGAUGAAUAUAAUGUAGCACGCAAAUUUGUGUAAUAACUCUUAAAAUACGUCACAUCAACAAUCAUCAAAAAAUUAAAGAAAAGAAGAUAACACCAAAUACUAAAUAUUCUAAUACAAAUUAAAUGAUGUAUCUAACUUUUGACUUAUGAG